GAGAAUUGAAANGCUGUUGAAGCUUCUUCUCCCAUCGAAAGUCACUCCUUGGCUUGUCUUCUCCAAUGCAACUUCCUUCNUUGAGUNGAAGGNCGUCUGAGUUGUAACCACACCACUACAAGCUUCCUCCGAAUCUCCCUCAUCAUUUACUACAUCUCUUCCGCUGCAACCAUUUCCAAACACCUCCAUCCAGCCAGUUCUGGUCUGUCACGAUUCUGCACAUUCGUGAGCUACUGUUUCAUUGCCUUCCAACCGCUGGAUCCAUUCAUCUAAGCUUUAAUAUCACGGAUCUGAAGCUGCACAUCUGAAUGGACCUGUAUCAAGUGGUAUUCAGAGCAUAGUUCAUGAUCCUGCAGUGAGCUAAGUGUCUCUGUUCCUUUCCUAUACUGUCAUCACGCUGUUUUCUGUCUUUGCAUCCAAGUGUGUACUGUUUCAUUGAAAUUCUUCUAGUUUCCAGUCAUUUCGUUUGUGAUUUUAUUGAAGCCAGCUUUCUUUGCUUUGUUUUGAUCAUUUUAAUCGGUCAAAUAUGUGCUUUGAGUCUUUUAUUUUUGC
RNAcentral lists this long non-coding RNA (552 nucleotides) under Vigna radiata. RNAcentral's name for it is "long non-coding RNA (VRAD_LNC017551)". The record is from RNAcentral. Lineage: Eukaryota; Viridiplantae; Streptophyta; Magnoliopsida; Fabales; Fabaceae.